AAGAAUAUAAUUUUCUUUAAAACAUUCUAUAAUCGGAGACCUUUAGAAAGGUCAAAAAAUUUUGUCUAAACUCGGAUGUAACACAACUAUAUGUUUAAUAUAUAUAGGGCAUAUCUCUUUCUUGUUUUAAUUAUGUGUAGUCCGUUCAAUUCAUAAAUACAUCUAUUCAAACGUUAUUUAUGAAUCAAGCUCAAAACCCUGUGUUGGCCAAACCAAAUUCUUAAUCUAUUAAAGGGAGUUAACUCAAUAUCAUUCAACUCGCAACCACCGAAACUUAUAAUAUCUCAUUUUCCUUUUUGGCANUCGUAGAUCAGCACGUACCAACGCAACCCCACCACCACCUCCACCACUGACAUAUGAUCCGGCCAUGGUCCAGGCUGCUAUCACAGCAGCAGUAACAGUAGCCCUCUCUCAAAUAAACUCCAAUGCAAAUGGAGGUACAGGAAGCAGCACGAAUCAUCCCAAUCGUGGCACCGGCCAGGGUCAUGUAAGGGAAUGUACUUACAAGGAGUUCUCCAACUCAAAGCCAAAGACUUUUAAUGGCAUUGGAGGAGUCAUUGCACUAAUGCAAUGGUUCGAAAAGACCGAAACAGUCUUCGAGAUCUGCUCGUGCCAAGAAACAAGCAAGGUUAAGUUCGCUGCUUGCACCUUCAUAGAUCGAGCCCUCACUUGGUGGAAAAGCCAUGUAAAUUCAGUGAUGCUCACUGUCGCUAACGCCAUGACUUGGGAAGAGCUAAAGGUUCUAUUACUGGAAGAAUACUGCCCAAGGGGCGAAGUGCAAAAGCUUGAGUAGGAGCUUUGGAAUCUGAAAAUGGUUGGGUCUGAUCUAGUCGCCUACACAGCUAGGUUCAACGACCUCGCUGCUUUGUGGCCUACCAUGGUCAUCCCAGAAUCAAAGAAAGUCGAAAGGUACAUUUGGGGGUUGUCACCCCAGAUUCAAGGGCAUGUCCUAGCUUCCAACCCUAUCACCUACAACAGCGCUAAAUGCAUGGCUCAACGACUCAUCGACCACGGAGUAAAACAGGGUACCAUUGCAGCAACCACAAAUCCACCUAAGGAGGCUCAGGGACAGAGUAGGCCUUGGAACAAGAGGAGGGGACAAACCCUCCAGGAGAACCCCAAGAAACAACAAGUAGUAGCGACCCACGCGAUUACUGUGCCUACCAACUCUGCCCCCACAAGCUCAUACAAUGGAAAACUUCCAAAGUGCAACUAAUGUAACUUCCACCACCACGGUCUCUGCCGUGACCUUCAAUGCACCAGGUGCUAUAAGAAGGGACAUACAGCCCGCUAUUGCAAAGAGCCAACCCAACAAUCCGCCCCCACUGCUAAUACCGGAGUAAGCCACGCCUGCUUUGAGUGCGGAGACACGGGACACUACCGCAGGGACUGCCCGAAGGCAAACAACAAGAAUACCGGCGGAAGGGGCCGAGUUUUCGCAAUGGGACAAGAUGAAGCCGUUGCGGACCCUACUGUUGUUACGGGUACGUUUCUUCUCGAUAACUCGUAUGCAUGCAUUUUGUUUGAUAGUGGAGCGGAAAGGAGUUUUGUGAGUCACGACUUUAAAGGCAUGCUAAAACCAAUACCACAAUCAUUAAGUGAACCAUUCAUAGUAGAAAUGGCCAACGGGAAAACUGAAGGCACUAAAGAGAUAUACUUAAACUGCACCCUAACUCUAAACGAUAAUCCCUUUCCAAUCAACCUCAUGCCAGUCUCGAUUAAGAGUUUCGAUGUCAUCAUUGGCAUGGAUUGGCUGAGUUCACAUCGUGUGGACAUUUUAUGUUACGAUAAGGCCGUUCGCCUUAAUCUACCAACCGGUGAAACCUUCCUUGUCUUGGUCGACAAACCUAGUACCACUCUUCGUAUCAUCUCAAGUAUCCAGGCUCAGAAGUACCUACGCAAGGAGUGUCACGCGUUUUUGGCUCAUGUUGUAGAUGUGAAGCGCGAAAUCCCGGACGUCAAGAAUGUGCCCGACAUAUGCGAUUUUCCCGAGGAUCUUCCAGGAAUACCACCCGCAAGACAAGUCGAGUUUAGAAUCGAUUUGAUUCCCGGAGCUGCCCCAGUAGCCAAAGCACCCUAUCGAUUAGCCCCGGCAGAGAUGCAGGAGCUAUCCAGCCAACUGAAUGAACUACUUGGAAAAGGAUUCAUCAGGCCGAGCUUCUCGCCAUGGGGAGCACCCGUGUUGUUCGUGGAAAAGAAGGAUGGUUCAUUCAGGAUGUGCAUCGACUACCGAGAACUCAACAAACUUACCAUCAAGAACCGAUACCCCCUACCCCGAAUCGACGACUUAUUCGAUCAACUCCAAGGAGCCAACUACUUCUCCAAGAUCGAUCUAAGGUCGGGAUAUCACCAGCUGCGAGUCCUAGAGAGUGAUGUUCCCAAGACGGCCUUCCGAAUAAGGUACGGACAUUACGAAUUCGUAGUGAUGCCUUCCGGACUAACCAAUGCCCCGGCCAUAUUCAUGGAUCUAAUGAAUCGGGUAUGUCGUCCAUUCUUGGAUAAAUUUGUGAUAGUAUUCAUAGACGACAUACUCAUUUAUUCAAAGAAUAAAGAAGAACAUAGUCAACACCUGAGACAAGUCUUAGAGACGUUACGGACUGAGAGACUUUAUGCAAAAUUCUCAAAAUGUGAGUUUUGGAUUAGAAAGGUGGACUUCCUCGGUCACGUGGUCAGCAAGGAAGGAAUCCACGUGGACCCCUCGAAAAUCAAGGCUAUCGAAAACUGGUCUGCACCAACUACACCAACAGAAAUUCGCCAAUUUCUAGGUCUUGCUGGUUACUACCGAAGGUUCAUCCAAAAUUUCUCCAGCAUCGCAAAGCCUCUUACCGCUUUAACCCAGAAAGGUGUGACCUACAACUGGGGAGAAAGGCAAGAUGUUGCGUUUCAGAAUUUGAAACAGGCCCUUUGCAGUGCACCCAUCCUUUCUCUUCCAGAGGGGACCGAUGAUUUUGUGGUGUAUUGCGACGCUUCAAAGCAAGGACUGGGCUGUGUGCUAAUGCAGAGGGGAAAGGUUAUUGCAUAUGCCUCAUGACAACUGAAGACACAUGAGGUCAAUUACACCACUCAAGACGUAGAACUUGGAGCGGUGGUCUUCGCCCUUAAAAUCUGGAGGCACUACCUAUACGGUACCAAGUGCACUAUCUUUACAGACCACAAGAGCCUCCAACACAUCUUCGACCAGAAGGAGUUAAACAUGAGACAGCGACGUUGGGUCGAAUUGCUCAACGACUACGAAUGUGAGAUUCGCUAUCAUCCGGGAAAGGCAAACGUCGUGGCCGAUGCCCUUAGUCGAAAGGAGUACUCUGGCCGAAGAGUGAAGUCAUUAGCCAUGUCGAUCCAUUCGCACCUGUCAGCGCAAGUCAAGGAAGCUCAAAUAGAGGCCUUGAAACCCGAAAACGUGACAGGUGAGGCCCUUAGGGGAAUGGACAAGAACUUAGAAAUCAAGAGUGACGGAGCACGCUACCUCAUGAACCGGAUCUGGACACCCAAGUUUGGUGGAUUCAGAGAGGUAGUUAUGAGCGAGGCACACAGGACUCCAUACUCCGUACACCCAGGGUCAGACAAGAUGUAUCUAGAUCUCAAGCAACUCUACUGGUGGCCAAACAUGAAAGCGGAGAUUGCUACCUAUGUGAGCAAGUGUUUAACUUGCGCCAAAAUAAAAAUAGAACACCAGAAACCCUCAGGUCUACUCCAACAACCUGAAAUACCUGAGUGGAAAUGGGAGCAGAUUUCUAUGGACUUUAUAACGAAACUGCCCAAAACUCAGGGUGGCCAAGAUACUAUUUGGGUGAUCGUCGACAGAUUAACCAAGUCCGCUCAUUUCUUACCGAUCAAGGAAACUGAUAGGAUGGAAAAACUAUCAAGAACCUACAUCCGGGAGAUCGUACGACUUCAUGGAGUACCGAUGUCCAUCAUCUCAGAUAGAGACAGCAGAUUCACUUCCAGAUUCUGGCAAUCAUUGCAAAAAUCCAUGGGAACAAGGUUGGACAUGAGUACAGCAUACCACCCACAAACUGACGGACAGAGUGAGAGGACGAUCCAAACCUUGGAAGACAUGUUGCGAGCAUGUGUAAUCGACUUUGGUAAGGCAUGGGAUGUUCACUUACCUUUGGUCGAGUUCUCUUAUAACAAUAGUUAUCAUACUAGUAUCAAGACUGCUCCAUUUGAAGCCCUUUACGGCCGUAAGUGCAGAUCACCUCUGUGCUGGACGGAAGUGGGCGACACGCAAUUGGCAAAAGGUCUAGUCCCUAAUAGCACCCUCACUGGUCCGGAGAUCAUCAGAGAAACGACUGAAAAGAUCGUGCAAAUACGAGAACGACUGAAGUCCUCAAGGGAUAGGCAAAAGAGCUAUGCCGACAAGAGACGUAAACCCUUGGAAUUCCAGAUUGGCGACCGUGUACUACUGAAGGUCUCACCCUGGAAAGGCAUGAUACGCUUUGGGAAGCGUGGAAAGCUAAAUCCUAGGUACAUUGGACCCUUCGAAAUCAUUUCGAGAGUUGGUCCAGUGGCCUACAAACUCCAACUUCCAAUCGAGCUUAACAAAGUACAUCCAGUAUUCCACGUAUCGAACCUGAAAAAGUGUUUGUCCGACGAAACACUUGUAAUUCCACUCGAUGAAAUCGAACUAAAUGAAAAUCUUAACUUUGUGGAAGAACCCGUCGAGAUCAUGGAUAGGGAAGUUAAACGAACUAAACAGAGUCGCAUUCCAAUAGUAAAGGUUCGAUGGAAUGCUAAGAGAGGACCCGAGUUCACAUGGGAACGGGAAGACCAAAUGCAACAGAAGUAUCCGCACCUCUUCCUCAGCCCCUAAGACUUCUCUUUUGUAUUAAAAUUUCGGGACGAAAUUCCCUCUAACGGGGGGAUGAUGUAACAACCCGAUAUUUCAACUCUUUGUAAUGACCUAAAAAGUCAAGUAUUGUAACCACCUUGGAGUUAAUAAAAUUAACUUUGAUAAUAAAAUGCCCAAAAAGUAUCUAUUUAAAUUCCUACUAUGUUUAAUAUCAUUAAACCGGGAUCGUACGUAAAAAGGAUGCCCAAAUCCGGCUUCGUUUAUUGAAGUUAAGAUUUUUCCAAGUUCGGCUUAGCAGCAGACAGCUAAAAACUCGAAUCGGAGAUCGAGCGACUUUUGGCCGGAAUGACCUAAACGAGAAUCGAAGGUCUCGACAAUGGUAUUUCAGCGGUAAAAAGUCUGGCAAAAACCGACGUCAGAUAAAGAAGUUAUGAAUUUUUAAAGAAAUUCCUUAAUCACGUCAAUUUUAUAAAUAAAUAAUAAAAAUAAUUUCAUAAUUUGCCAACGGAGUCUAAACGAAAGUUGUAGAUCUUAGUCUCACCUACGCGUGGAUAUAAAGACCAUCGAAAACGGAGUUCGUAUGAGGAAGAUAUGAAUUUUUGAAGUUUAUUAAAUAAAUUAUAAUUAUAUUUAAAUCAAAAAUGCUAGUAAUAUCCGAAGAGGAGUCAGCGUCCUCAUCCGAGGUACGCGCCGCGUAACCCCGUACGCCCCGCGUACCCGAGGGCCUUGGCAUCGGACCGUCCACGUCGCCCCUCUACGAACCUACCGAUCCGUCCCAUCCGAGCUCCGGGGCAGUCGAGGACUCGCUCAUGCAUGACGCACGGGUACGCCCCGCGUACGCCCGUACGCCCCGCGUACCGAGGCCUCUCAGCCCCUAUAAAUAGAGAUGCGAGGGUUCCGGAAAAUUCACCCCAUUUCUCUCAUUUCUCUCACGAUAUUGCCUCGAUUUCCGUGCCCGCACUACCCCGAAGCCCUGAUCAUUUUGCUCAAGUCCCGAAGGUCGAUUUUUCUCCCGAGAUUCCCGAGAAUCCCGAGAAAAAUCCGUUUCCCGAGACGAAACUCUGCCCGGUUUUCCAUCUCGCUAUCUUCAAACUUUCAAGUGAGUUCAUACCCCCUUCAAACACACUUUAAAUACAUUUUAAAUGCUUUUAUACUCUUUUAGGGGGGGAAUACAAGUAAACAUACGGUUAUUAUCGUGUAUUUCAUAAAAUUUCACUUUACUCGUUUUUAUCAAAUGAAUCACUUGUGAUUUAGUACUACUAUGUGAAAACUCUUGUCAUACUUUGCAUGCACUAGAUUUAUACAAAGUAUUUAGUAAUUCCAAAGUAUCCUUCGUUGCUAAACCGUUUUAUACAUUCUAAAAACUUAUGAUUUAUGCUUUGUCAAACAUUGUGAAAAAGGAUAAACUUUGCACACAAAACUAUUACUUUAAUACAGACUUAGUUGAGAAUCCAUGAGACAUGUACAUCUUCAAAUACUGCCUUUUUAUUAGAAGGUAUCGCUACAAGUCCUGUCUAUAACCAGAGUCUCCCGUUCGGAGAACGUGUCAAAUGUGUAUAGAUCUAUACGGGAAGUCAUGAUCCCGCGCCCUGACUGUUAGCUACAGUCCUUCCUUUGGGGUGACAGUUUGUCAUAACGCUACGACGCCUGAAGAACGUCGCUACAGGCAUAUUAUGUUUAGUAUGGUUAUAAAACUCAUCGGAUACACAACUAUUAUAGUACUUCUGAUUGAUGAACGAGUAGCUAUUAAAACUAUUCUUUAUCUAACAAACUGAAAUCUUCUGAUAGGUUUAUUAUAUAAAUCUAUGUUUAAAAUCUUCUAAAGCAUGUGGAUUGCUUCCAAUUUUUAGUCUUGGACAUUAAACAAACUAUUACUUUAGGAAAAUAUGGGAUUUUCCUGUAUACAAACCAAACAACUAUUAGGAAAAUAAGGGAUUUUCUUGGUUCAACUAGCUACAUUUUUCAACACAAAUACUCUCAUGCAUUUCAUACUUUUAUAAGAAAAUAAGGGAUUUUCUUGGAAAAUAUACACUCAUUUUGGAAUGGCAUUCAAUGUUUCUAAAUCACUUAUGAACUCACCAACUUAAUUGUUGACACUUUUUCUUUGAAAUAACUUGUAUUCUCAGGGAACCGUUAAGCAGGUUUGGAAAUCAACUUUUGGGGAUUAACGCGCUGGCGUUAAUUAUUUCUUUUGAAAGAUGUUUAUGCAUUUAUCUUUUGAGCAUGUAAUGAAUACAAUGAUGUAAACAUUUUUAAAACCUUUAUAUAUGUAUGGUGGUGUGUACUUUCCUUUCUAUGAACUGUUAUGAUACUGAAUAUGACGUCCUCCGCCCCCGAACGUUUCCGCCGUUCUGGUUUGGGGGUGUGACAGAUUGGUAUCAGAGCUUUGUUUAUAGGGAAUUAAGUAUAUCAAAACCAUUUCUUUUUGGUAUACAACUAUAAACUCAACUGGGCAAAAACACUCUGAGAAGAGUCAUACUUUUGAAAUUAAAUUUAAUUAGUUUUUAAAGUAGGCAUGCACUCAUUUCAUACUAAUAACAGUUUCAUAUCGGAUAAUUUUAGAAGUAUUAUAAAUAAGUUGUGCAGUACAGGUACGCCUUGGGACAUGUAAUCGGAACUGGGAAGAAUAUAGCCUGAUCAACUAUAUUUGUCCGAGAGUCGACUAACAUGUGCAAAGGAGUGUCUGCAGUGGACAACAAUUUUAAAACUUACCAAAAAGCACAUCAUUACAUAAUACUAAGGGAGUUUUGUGUUGACAUCAGCCAUUAAACUUAAGGGUAAAUUUCAUAUAUUCUAGCUUAUAGUCAAUUCUUAACCCUAUUCUUGUACAAACUCAAUGGCUGGAUUCCACCACCCCAAUGACCCCUACUACCCCAACCAAGGUAAUGGAGGAUGGGUCGAAGAAAAUCCCGAAGAAGACGAAGAGCCGAUAGAAUUGGAUGAGGGAGAUGACUCUAAUACGGAUUCAGAGCCAGAGGUUAUCAAUCCACCGGACCCACAACCUCCUGUCCAUGAGAGGAACUUCCAAGGGCCCACUCCUGUGUGGGGAAGUCACCUCCACCAUUGGAGCCAACAACAAAGCUUACGCCCUCCCUACGGCAUGUGCCGAGACUUUUAUGAUGUAGGAGGCGGGGGAUCGGCAGAACGAGCACUUCCGGUCGUGGUUGGCAAACUAGCCAACCAAUGCUAUCAAUCCGGAGUUCAAGCCAAACGGAUCCGCGAGAUCAACAUAGAAGUACAGGUUCACACUUCUGACAUCCGUAGGCUGGAUGGGAUUCAGGACCAUGCCCAACUCCAAACUGAGGCAUUUCAGGCACAAAUGAUUGCAGCCCUAGCUGAGUUAAGGGAACAACAAGCCGCUUUUGAUAGGCGUCUGAUGGAAUCGAAGCAAUCAGAUGCGGAGUCAAGCUCCAAGCGCAACCUACGUCGCAAGUAGUGCUUGCUAGGAUUUCAAAUUUUGUUAUAAAUUAGGACUUCGGAUAAGAAUAUAAUUUUCUUUAAAACUUUCUGUAAUCGGAGACCUUUAGAAAGGUCAAAAAGUUUUGUCUAAACUCGGAUGUAACACAACUAUAUGUUUAAUAUAUAUAGGGCAUAUCUCUUUCUUGUUUUAAUUAUGAGUAGUCCGAUCAAUUCAUAAGUACAUCUAUUCAAACGUUAUUUACAAAUCAAGCUCAAAACCCUGUGUUGGCCAAACCAAAUUCUUAAACUAUUAAAGGAAGUUAACUCAAUAUCAUUCAACUCGCAACCACCAAAACUUACAAUCUCUCAUUUUUUUUCUUUUAGCUGCGCAAUGCCUCCUCGUAGACCAGCACGUACCAACGUAACCCAACCACCACCUCCACCACUGAUAUAUGAUCCGGCCAUGGUCCAGGCUGCUAUCACAGCAGCAGUAACAGUAGCCCUCUCUCAAAUAAACUCCAAUGCAAAUGGAGGUACAGGAAGCAGCACGAAUCAUCCCAAUCGUGGCACCGGCCAGGGUCAUGUAAGGGAAUGUACUUACAAGGAGUUCUCCAACUCAAAGCCAAAGACUUUUAAUGGCAUUGGAGGAGUCAUUGCACUAAUGCAAUGGUUCGAAAAGACCGAAACAGUCUUCGAGAUCUGCUCGUGCCAAGAAACAAGCAAGGUUAUGUUCGCUGCUUGCACCUUCAUAUAUCGAGCCCUCACUUUGGUGGAAAAGCCAUGUGAAUUCAGUGACGCUCACUGUCGCUAACACCAUGAGUUGGGAAGAGCUAAAGGUUCUACUACUGGAAGAAUACUGCCCAAGGGGCGAAGUGCAAAAGCUUGAGCAGGAGCUCUGGAAUCUGAAAAUGGUUGGGUCUGAUCUAGUCGCCUACACAGCUAGGUUCAACGACCUCGCUGCUUUGUGCCCUACCAUGGUCAACCCAGAAUCAAAGAAGGUCGAAAGGUACAUUUGGGGGGUUGUCACCCCAGAUUCAAGGGCAUGUCCUAGCUUCCAACCCUAUCACCUACAACAACGCUAAACGCCUGGCUCAACGACUCAUCGACCACAGAGUAAAACAGGGUACCAUUGCAGCAACCGCAAAUCCACCUUAGGAGGCUUAGGGCCAGAGUAGGCCUUGGAACAAGAGGAGGGGACAAACCCUCCAGGAGAACCCCAAGAGACAACAAGUAGUAGCGACCCACGUGAUUAUUGUGCCUACCAACUCUGCCCCCACAAGCUCAUACAAUGGAAAACAUCCAAAGUGCAACCAAUGCAACUUCCACCACCAC
Molecule: long non-coding RNA, 9520 nt
Filed under: Lactuca sativa (garden lettuce)
Lineage: Eukaryota; Viridiplantae; Streptophyta; Magnoliopsida; Asterales; Asteraceae
Description: long non-coding RNA (LSAT_LNC003350)
Source: RNAcentral